AGUGAACGCUGGCGGUAGGCCUAACACAUGCAAGUCGAACGGCAGCACAGUAAGAGCUUGCUCUUACGGGUGGCGAGUGGCGGACGGGUGAGGAAUACAUCGGAAUCUACUUUUUCGUGGGGGAUAACGUAGGGAAACUUACGCUAAUACCGCAUACGACCUACGGGUGAAGGCAGGGGAUCUUCGGACCUUGCGCGAUUGAAUGAGCCGAUGUCGGAUUAGCUAGUUGGCGGGGUAAAGGCCCACCAAGGCGACGAUCCGUAGCUGGUCUGAGAGGAUGAUCAGCCACACUGGAACUGAGACACGGUCCAGACUCCUACGGGAGGCAGCAGUGGGGAAUAUUGGACAAUGGGCGCAAGCCUGAUCCAGCCAUACCGCGUGGGUGAAGAAGGCCCUCGGGUUGUAAAGCCCUUUUGUUGGGAAAGAAAAGCAGCAGGUUAAUACCCCGCUGUUCUGACGGUACCCAAAGAAUAAGCACCGGCUAACUUCGUG
RNAcentral lists this ribosomal RNA (492 nucleotides) under uncultured bacterium. RNAcentral describes it as "partial 16S ribosomal RNA". It matches the Rfam family "Bacterial small subunit ribosomal RNA", at positions 29 to 507 of the family's 1533-position model. The record is from RNAcentral.